This 429-nucleotide ribosomal RNA is filed under the name Chloroflexota bacterium. RNAcentral's name for it is "Chloroflexi bacterium partial 16S ribosomal RNA". It matches the Rfam family "Bacterial small subunit ribosomal RNA", at positions 355 to 776 of the family's 1533-position model. Lineage: Bacteria; Bacillati; Chloroflexota. The record is from RNAcentral.
UGGGGAAUAUUGCACAAUGGGCGCAAGCCUGAUGCAGCCAUGCCGCGUGUGUGAAGAAGGCCUUCGGGUUGUAAAGCACUUUCAGCGGGGAGGAAGGCGUUAAGGUUAAUAACCUUGGCGAUUGACGUUACCCGCAGAAGAAGCACCGGCUAACUCCGUGCCAGCAGCCGCGGUAAUACGGAGGGUGCAAGCGUUAAUCGGAAUUACUGGGCGUAAGUCGCACGCAGGCGGUCUGUCAAGUCGGAUGUGAAAUCCCCGGGCUCAACCUGGGAACUGCAUUCGAGACUGGCAGGCUAGAGUCGUGUAGAGGGGGGUAGAAUUCCAGGUGUAGCGGUGAAAUGCGUAGAGAUCUGGAGGAAUACCGGUGGCGAAGGCGGCCCCCUGGGCAAAGACUGACGCUCAGGUGCGAAAGCGUGGGGAGCAAACAGG